This 730-nucleotide unclassified non-coding RNA is filed under the name Hevea brasiliensis (rubber tree). Lineage: Eukaryota; Viridiplantae; Streptophyta; Magnoliopsida; Malpighiales; Euphorbiaceae. The record is from RNAcentral.
AGAGACUGAUAAUACUAGAGAAAUUUCAGAGUUAAUUUAUGCUCAGCAUCAUAAACCAUUUUAAAUUAAAAUUAACUCUCCAAUACAUUUUGUUUAGUGCUUGAAUUGAAUAUAUAUAUAUAUAAAUGUGUGUGUGUUUAUUUUUAAAGGUGAUAUUCAUUUUUAAUUGGGCCCCUCUAAUUAAAAAUUCUGCCUCCGUUAUGAGAGUUCAAAUCUCGAGUAGCAGAGAAUCUUAGUUCUGUCCCAAGUUAUUUCAGCAAAUAAAGACUAGCCCUGUUGGUAAGGUAACCAACAAGCACAGGCAGUAAACUAAACAAAUGGGGAGUUUAAGCAUGAAUCCAUGAAAAAGAAGCCCCAUUCAACAAAAGUUUUGGUCCAACAGAUUCACUAGUGCAUUGAAAUGAAGUCAGCUACAUGUGGGAAAAGCAAUUAUUGUGGUGUAAGUUUGGGAAAUCUAUUUCCCUUUUGUUCUUUCCUUCAGUUUUUUUCUUUUUUCCUCUUAUUCCUCUUCUUUUACUUUUCGAAUUUUCCACAUUCUUUUUGGGAUGAAGGGUGGGAGAGACGAAUUUUUGGGAGAUGAGUAGAUUCUAGAACGUUACCUAUGUGAUUUUCAACUUUUUUUUAGAAGGGAGGGAACUUUAAUGUGUGAACUAAACUCCAAUAAGAAUCAAACUAGUAAUGAAAGUCACUUGCAGUCAAAUGUGUAAAGCGUACAUACCAGCAUAAGCAA